GAUGAAGAACGUAGUGAAAUGCGAUACGUAAUGUGAAUUGCAGAAUUCAGUGAAUCAUCGAGUCUUUGAACGCACAUUGCGCCCUCUGGUAUUCCGGAGGGCAUGCCUGUCCGAGCGUCAUUGCUGCCCUCAAGCACGGCUUGUGUGUUGGGCUCCGUCCCCCGAUCCCGGGGGACGGGCCCGAAAGGCAGCGGCGGCACCGCGUCCGGUCCUCGAGCGUAUGGGGCUUUGUCACCCGCUCUGUAGGCCCGGCCGGCGCUUGCCGAUCAACCAAAUUUUUAUCCAGGUUGACCUCGGAUCAGGUAGGGAUACCCGCUGAACUUAAGCAUAUCAAUAAGCGGAGGA
RNAcentral lists this unclassified non-coding RNA (345 nucleotides) under soil metagenome. RNAcentral describes it as "partial contains 5.8S ribosomal RNA, internal transcribed spacer 2, and large subunit ribosomal RNA". The stretch from base 1 to 120 matches the Rfam family "5.8S ribosomal RNA", at positions 35 to 154 of the family's 154-position model. The record is from RNAcentral.